Long non-coding RNA from Etheostoma spectabile (orangethroat darter), 87 nucleotides. RefSeq lists it as uncharacterized. The transcript has 3 exons. The record is from RefSeq and is a predicted model, not a curated record. NCBI's taxonomy places the organism in Eukaryota, Metazoa, Chordata, Actinopteri, Perciformes, Percidae.
CGUGUAUUUAUGAGCCCAUCUCCACAGCAUCCAUCUGUGAAGUUGUCAGCUUUGUGUCCUGGCAUGCUCUUACCAGAUUCUCUCUCA